UGUUAAAAAAGUGGCUACAUUUAUUUUGCUGUCAAAUUUUGGUAACUAUGCCAAAAUUUUAGUUUGCUACCCUUAGAGCCUGUUCACUUUGAUGCCAAAAAAAAACCUUACCAAAUUUUAGCAUUGCCAAGUUUUGGUAACUUGCUAAAAUUUUAGCAGGAUUUCUUAUAUAGUUACCAAAAUUUGGCAGCAAAAUAAAUGUAGCCACUUUUUUUUGCAA
This 220-nucleotide unclassified non-coding RNA is filed under the name Oryza sativa (Asian cultivated rice). Its description in RNAcentral is "partial microRNA MIR480c precursor". Lineage: Eukaryota; Viridiplantae; Streptophyta; Magnoliopsida; Poales; Poaceae. The record is from RNAcentral.